UACGAAGGGGGCUAGCGUUGCUCGGAAUCACUGGGCGUAAAGCGCACGUAGGCGGAUUGCUAAGUCAGGGGUGAAAUCCUGGAGCUCAACUCCAGAACUGCCUUUGAUACUGGCGAUCUUGAGUCCGGGAGAGGUGAGUGGAACUGCGAGUGUAGAGGUGAAAUUCGUAGAUAUUGGGAAGAACGCCGGUGGCGAAGGCGGCGACCUGGUCCGUGACUGACGCUGAGGCGCGAAAGCCAGGGGAGCGAACGGGG
Molecule: ribosomal RNA, 254 nt
Filed under: uncultured bacterium
Lineage: Bacteria
Description: partial 16S ribosomal RNA
Rfam family: Bacterial small subunit ribosomal RNA
Source: RNAcentral